Molecule: ribosomal RNA, 192 nt
Filed under: uncultured bacterium
Lineage: Bacteria
Description: partial 16S ribosomal RNA
Rfam family: Bacterial small subunit ribosomal RNA
Source: RNAcentral
ACCCGCCUGCACGAAGUUGGAAUUGCUAGUAAUCGUAGGUCAGCAUACUACGGUGAAUACGUUCCCGGGGCCUUGUACACACCGCCCGUCAAACCAUGAGAGUUGGCAACACCCGAAGUCGGUAGUCUAACCGCAAGGAGGACGCCGCCGAAGGUGGGGUUGAUGAUUAGGGUUAAGUCGUAACAAGGUAUC